This 460-nucleotide ribosomal RNA is filed under the name uncultured bacterium. RNAcentral's name for it is "partial 16S ribosomal RNA". It matches the Rfam family "Bacterial small subunit ribosomal RNA", at positions 338 to 795 of the family's 1533-position model. The record is from RNAcentral.
CCUACGGGGGGCAGCAGUGAGGAAUAUUGGUCAAUGGGCGCGAGCCUGAACCAGCCAAGUAGCGUGAAGGAUGACUGCCCUACGGGUUGUAAACUUCUUUUAUCAAGGAAUAAAGUGAGGCACGUGAGCCUUUUUGUGUGUACUUUAUGAAUAAGGAUCGGCUAACUCCGUGCCAGCAGCCGCGGUAAUACGGAGGAUCCGAGCGUUAUCCGGAUUUAUUGGGUUUAAAGGGAGCGUAGAUGGGUUGUUAAGUCAGUUGUGAAAGGUUGCGGCGCAACCGUAAAAUUGCAAUUGAUACUGGCAGUCUUGAGUACAGUUGAGGUAGGCGGAAUUCGUGGUGUAGCGGUGAAAUGCUUAGAUAUCACGAAGAACUCCGAUUGCGAAGGCAGCUUACCAAGCUACUUCUGACGUUGAGGCACGAAAGCGUGGGGAGCAAACAGGAUUAGAUACCCUAGUAGUC